UCCUUCCCUAGGUGAGCCUUCAGAUGAGACCCCAACCCUGAUGGACACUUUCACUGCAGCCUGGUGAGAGACUGUGAAGCAGAGGACCCGGUUACACCAUCCUCAGAAUCCUGACCCACAGGCAUUGCAGUUUAUAGCACUGAUCUAUCAGUACCACUUGCUGACUUCGAUGGGAAGAUGGUUUUUUCUGCAGGUGCCUAGUUUGAUGAGAUGUCCUGUGAGAACUUAAAGUGAGAAGGAGCUGGAAGCAGGACUGUCUCUCUUUUGAUGAGAAGAAGAAUAACCUCAUUCUGAAUCAAUGAAAAUACUUCCGUCUUCUUGCCACUGGAUAUAUGUUAUCUGCACUUACAGAAUUGAAAGUGUGCAUCAAAGGAGCAUUCUCUUGGGAAGAAAGUUUUAUAGGGGAAGUCUGGAUGCUGGUGGAGCAGUGAGAAAGAAGAACUUAUUUUACCUCUGACUUGAGCACUGAAAAGAUACACCUUCACCACUGUUGCAACUCCAUACUUCUAAGAACGGCCAGAACUACUUUCCAAUGACUUCUUUCUACCACACUUCUCCUCCUCAGUGUAAGAGGAUGAAAGCACAUGAUGACAUUUGAAGCAAGAAGAUUGAAGAAUUGCUGCCUGCUAACCCAAGGCUUGGAUUAGUACAAUCUUUUUAGCUUUUUACUGUGAAGUUCAGGGAUCACAAAUGUUGUUUCAUCCAUGGAACUUUUGCAACUUGUUAUUUUCAUACCUGAGAUCUGGGGGAAAGUUUAGUCUAAAUGGCUUCUAAAAUAGCCAUUAGCUCAGGAGAUACGCAGCCAAUGCAUGUGACAGGAGCUUUGCUCAUAUUACCCUGUUUUUUGGUCAUGUAGUUUUUGGUUUUUUUUUUAAAUGAUGUCAUUUAAAAACUUUGCUUUUUGGGAAUGAUUCCCCCCACUAUUUUUCUAUAGAGGGUCAGGAAAAUGCAUAAAUAAUUUCUGGGCUUGGGUGCAGAAGAUACACAUGCUGACAAACAGAAAUCUAAAGUGUUAAAGGAGAUUGUCCUUUGAAGAAACUUUUCCAGGCUUGAGUUCUAUAUUUUUGGAUUUGACUCAGUGAAAAAUCUUUACUGAGUACCUAGUAUAUGCCCAGCAUUCUGCUGCAUUAUAGGGGUUGGGGGACUAUAGUCCAGUUGGGAUACAGGAAGGAUGGAGAGAGAAUACAUAUAGUUACAGCACAAGGCAGAAUAAGUUAUAGUAUACAAUGGGCUAUGGAAUAUUGUGGAGGAAGAGAGCAUUUUUAAUUAGUGGAGUCAGGAAAUGCAUUACCAAGGUGAUGGCAUUCUUGCUGGGUCAUGAAGGAUAGAUAGGAUUUUGGCAGGUGAGGAGCCAUUCUAAUGCAAGAGAACAAUAAUAGAAAAAGCCCAGUGGUCCACUGAGGGUAGGAGCAGGGAAAUAAAGGGCGGCUGGGUUUAUACUGUGAUUACUGAGCUGCAGGCACGCAGUUGUCCACGCCCUCCUCCUUGAACCACUUUUUUUAAAAAAUAUAAAUUUAUUUAUUUAUUUAUGUUUGGCUGUGUUGGGUCUUUGUUGCUGAG
Long non-coding RNA from Balaenoptera musculus (blue whale), 1560 nucleotides. RefSeq lists it as uncharacterized. The transcript has 6 exons. NCBI's taxonomy places the organism in Eukaryota, Metazoa, Chordata, Mammalia, Artiodactyla, Balaenopteridae. The record is from RefSeq and is a predicted model, not a curated record.